This 65-nucleotide transfer RNA is filed under the name Leiolepis belliana belliana. RNAcentral describes it as "tRNA-Thr". RNAcentral also lists the same sequence under 2 other names. Lineage: Eukaryota; Metazoa; Chordata; Lepidosauria; Squamata; Agamidae. The record is from RNAcentral.
AUUUCAGUAGCUUAACACUAAACCAUUGACCUUGUAAACCAAAAAUGGACAUCACAAGCCCAUCU